UUUACAUUUCUUGAAAUGUCAUGCUACUUUUAAAACCACAAAAUAGAAGGACAUUUGGACCACCUAAGAACUAGGUCUCAGCUUCAACACAAAUACAACAAUUGUGGCAUAUGUUUGUUUUGCUGUGUUUAUUCUUUCCUCUCAGUCAUUCCAUUGUCAGCUUGCAUUUGAAGAAACAGAGUUGGACUAAGCUAACUGGAUUUGGAGAAACUCACAAAGGAUCUGGUUCACCACAAAUUUCACCAAAUCCAUACUCAAACACUGUUAAAGGUAGUUUUAACAGGAAAAGGGACAAUAAAUCCAAUUCUGCUGCAUACAAAGUUGGCCUACGACCUUAACACACUGAAUGUAACGAUUUCAAAGAGAUUUAUGGCCCUUAAGAGUAUUGACUUCAUUGGUGUGGUCUGUUAAAAAUAAUAGGGCUGCAUUUUUGAUGUUUCAUUUUAUACAACUAUACAAUAUACAGCUAUAAUCUUGUCUUAUCAUCACAAUAUCAUGUAUUUCAUAACUACAGAGCCAGGCAGUAAUGUUAUUCUCCAAGCUAAACUAUACAUAGGAAACACUAUGAUAGAAGGAAAAGACAAAAGAAAAUAGCUCUAUACCCUAAAACCUUUCUUUAGGGUGAUAUAAAAAUCUUCUCUUCCUGUAUUUACUGCGUUCGUUGCUAAGUUAAUUUUCAAAAGAUUGCUACACCUGCCAAGUCAGAUUGCAUAAGAGUCAGUGAAGCCUUGAGGGUGACCAGCAUGAACAAUAUCUGAAGUAUUUCCAUCACACCGUAAAUCAUCUGGAGGCGAGAUGCACUGAUGACACCCUGGCUCUUGCCAUUCUAGCAUGGAUUCGGUGGGAACAACUCAAAAUUCAUAGAAAUUCAGUUUAUUUAAACAAGUACAUUCAGUAUAUACAAGCUAUAAACAAAUUUGCAUACAUUCAUUACACUCAUUUAUAGAAGAGUUUCUAAUGCCUCCUUUUUACUUUGUGAGCUUAAAGCCACGCUACCAGCUCUGUAUAAAAGCUAAACAUUAAUCACAGCCCCUAAUGAAUCACACUGUAUGCACAUGUGUGUAUGGGUGUGGCACUGUGGUUGUUUCAGUUUCCUCAUUAUUUCUUUGGAAAUCGCUGUCUUAAUCAAAGAUGAAUUGCGGCGUACGUGGUUGAAUUUGAUGAGCCUCUGUAUUUCAAAGGCUAGUGAUAAACCACUGAAAACACAACCUAUACAUUAUACAAAAAAAUUUACUUAAUCUUUAUCCAGUAGUGAUAACCCUUGUUUCUAAUUUCUCAAACAGUACAUGUGGAAAUGAGUCCCGUCUUUAUCGCACAGGUUAGAGCUUGCGUGCAUAUGAGUGGGAGGUUAGAUGGAUUUCAUGUAACUGCUCUAACUCUUUAGUAAGUGUAAGCCUGUACAUGCACAGAGAGGGAAGCUACUCCUGGAUGUAAACUUUUUCUGUUGCUCCACUGAACAUUCUGUUCUCACUUAUCAGUUUACCACUACCUCAUUCAGCCACCCUUACCAAUACAACUCGUGCAUGAAUAUAAAUUGUUCAGGCUUCCUCUUGUCUGUUCCCUCCAGUAAUAGAACAAACAAUCCCAUUUGCACACAAAGGAAGCUCAUGUUGACAUCUACUCACACUUUUAAUAGAGUGCCCUGUUUUCUAUUACCCCAGCAGUUAAACUUCCUCUCCCUCCUUUUUCUUCUGCUUCUUCUUAGAAUCUCUUACCCCGCUUUCUUCAUUCUCUUUCUUACUCACAAAGUCCUAACUCUCUCUUUUUCAUUGCCACAACUUCCCCCUGAGGCUGGUGAGUCAUCUUAGUCUCCAACAUGACUGCAUGCUAUUGUAUGUAACUGCGAACGGCAAAAAGGUCCCUGAGGGAAUAACUCCUAACUGAAACCAUGUGAUUCGUACAUACUGAUAGUGUAUUUGACCAUGUGAUCCUCACACACGGUCAAGUACACUGUGAGUUCUUUACAACUGGCUAAUGCUUUGUUCAAAUAAACACAUAUCUGUCUUUCUUGCACAUUUUUUGAAACAGUUGACAGACAACUACUCCCAGAAAGCUCUAAUUUGAGACAAUGAGUGGAAUUAUUAGGUAGUACAACAUCUUGUUAAUUAACAUCCCUCGCUGUCCUUUUAGCUACAAAAGGAAAAGAAGACAUUGGGUUACAUACUAUGACUAUCAAUUUAAAGUGUUCAAUUAAUCUAAUGUACUUUAAAAAUAAAGGAAACAGUACCUGAAAAGAUCCUAUAUAUACACACAUGCACACUCAACAGCUCCAGCUGGGAUUCAAACCCAGAAUAUUUGCUGCAAGUCAGCUGUACUGACAACUGCAUAACAAUGCAGGCUACUAUUAAAAGUUUGACAGUGAGUGCCAUUCAUUCCUUUUUACUUUUCUUUGUCAGGGUUGAACGUGGUUGGUAACUAUUUCAAAACUGAACAGGUGAGGAAUGCAGUUUGUGAAGACAAUCUGUUACAGGGUGUCACAGAUUUACCUAACAUGAAUAAAAUCUGGACAGUAAUUCAUCAAGGAAAAGGACUCUAGCAGCAUCUGUAAUAUUGAUAAAACAACUUUAUUGACCAACCAAAGGGUUUCACCUUGGUCUUCAUCAAGAUCAUCCUCCUGAUAAUGAUCUUCCUCAAGGAAACAGGAUUGCUGUAGUCCUCAACGGCUCAGAUUUUCUAUAUGCAGCUUGGAAGUAGGUGAAAUUUAGCAGGAAAUGUCUGGACAUUAGGAAUGUUUACAUGAAAAUCAGUAUGGUGUAAAAUACUAAAUGAAAACUUAGGCACAUCUAAUGGUCACAUGAUGGCAUUGUAUCAGUUUGAGUGAAUAUUUCAAAGAUUUCUGUUGCUGCUAAAUUUUCAUGUUGCUGCUUGCCUUGUUUACAAAAUAUUAGACACGUUCAGGAGAUUUGGAACCUUUAAGGAUUAAAAUGGGGCAAAAGUUAAAAAAGUGGAGUUGCAUAUUAUACAAAAUCAGUGACAUUAGACCCAAUUUAAUGACAUUUCUCUUAUAUGUAGUUUUAUAUACAAAGCCGCCAUAUAAGAUUUUGAGCUUGGGGUUGAUGUAGAACUCAGUUUGGGUAAUAAUUAUUUUCAAGGUAAAUACAAAGAAAUUUACUGAAAAUAGUGAAUGACAGUAAACCGAGAACAUGUGCCACAUGUGCUGUGUUCUUAUUGGUGAGGUCAGAACUUUGUUUGAAGGAAUAACAUCAAAGCUAACUGACCAAUUUUACUGGUCACUGAAUUAAGUUUUAUAAUUCUGUGUGAUAUACAAGAUACAAAUCAUCAGGAUUCAAAAUAAAAAAGUUGUUGUCAUAAUUUUUUUAUAUUGGUGAAAAAUUUCACUUUUAAUUACAACUUAUAAUUACAUUUUUGUUAUAACCUAUUGACUUUUUUGCCUUUCAUUUUUUAUUUGAAGCUAACGUAAUGAACUUAGCAGUCCAAACUGUUUGUGAUCGUUAUAAAACUUCUGACAAGAUGGCCGAUUCUGGCAGGCCUGGUAUUUACUGAGGUGGUGCUAGUUAUACAAAGCUUGGGAACCCAUCAUUUAGCACCAUUAGCUAGGCUAUGUGCCAACAGAACUAUUGGAGCAAUGAAAGGAAUUUUAUCUUUUGACUCUUCUGGUUUCCGCAAUGAUUGUGUGAGUUCGCCUGAGUGGAGGUGAAUGAUCUCACACAUUGAGUCCUAACUGCACAACAUUUUGUGCACAUGUGUCCGAUGAUGUUAGAGCUUCUUCAAACCAUUGUUCUCUCAGGUAAACCUUUUAUUGUGUGUUUUGUGAACAGUGUUCUGUUUACCCCAAUCAUAGCACCUUAAUGCACCCAUAAGGGAGAGAAUAUGUGUGUGCAUGUUUGUGAGCACUAACCCACAAAGGGAUGAUUUAUGCGUUGGCAGUUGAAGGUGUAAACACAGACAAGUUGGCGCACUCACAAUACACACAUAUAAACCCACACCUGGCACACCUCACACCCUUUUCAUUUCCCUUUCAGACACAAAUGUUUAAUGGUUAGCUUAUUCACACACAAAAUGCAUGGAGCUCUCUCAUACUCGCACAUGUUCUGUACAUAAAAGUUGCAGUGCACCCCACCCUCUCUUAGUUACACACACAGACAUAGAAACACUGAGGGCCUGGGGGGAAUGGAAGGCGCUGAAACUAGUUGUGUGUGUUGGGUGUUGUCUACAGCUGGAGCUGGAACUGGAGCUGGAUCUGGUUACCGAACACUCCCUAUUCCUCCCUUCUAUAGCUUAACACACACCGUAAAUAAUGUCCACAUGCGCAACUGACCCCACACUUUAUCUUGUAAACUGAUAAACUGAUUUCUCUUGCACACGUGCAUGUCAGUGAAACAUGCCUGGGGAGACUUUCAGGGUCCCAGUGCAUCAAAGUCCACUGAGUUCACAGUGAGCUUACACUAUCUCAAAACAGUUUACAGAGAGAGAAGAAAAAAACAAUGGUGUGUGUGGGCGUGUGCGUGUGUGGGAGAGACAGUACAUGUAAAGGUGCUUUCUCCCUGGCGGUUUGUCUAGUAUCAAAAAACUUAACCGGUAGAGUGAGAUUACCACCUCACCUCCAAACACCAAACGUUCAACUGAAUUUGUUUGCAUAAUGAUAGCGUGGUUCUUACUUCUCCUUCAUUGUGUCUCUCUCUAUUUUCCCUCUCAAUCAGCUCAAGCAAUUAUCCUUCAUCUUCUUCCAACACCUCCCCUUGUUUUUCCCUCAGUUUAUGUGUUUUUCCUCAACCAUUCCCCUUCUCUCCAUGUGAAUUUUAUUGCGCAUUUGAGCAAUCUGAAAUCAUUGCAUGUACUGCAGGCAAAAAAGGGGGAGCUUACAAACCAGCUGAAGGGGAAGGAAGAGGGGAGACAAACAAAAAAAGACAAAUAAAAGACACCUGGAACAAAAGCAAAAAAAAAAAAAAAACAGGACAUGAGGAGGAA
Molecule: long non-coding RNA, 4929 nt
Organism: Xiphophorus couchianus (Monterrey platyfish)
Lineage: Eukaryota; Metazoa; Chordata; Actinopteri; Cyprinodontiformes; Poeciliidae
Exons: 2
Source: RefSeq, a predicted model, not a curated record